UACGGAGGGUGCGAGCGUUGUCCGGAAUUACUGGGCAUAAAGGGUGCGUAGGUGGCUUGUUAAGUCAGGGGUGAAAGUUUUCGGCCCAACCGGAAAAUGGCCUUUGAUACUGGCGAGCUCGAGUGCGUGAGGGGUAACCGGAACGAGCAGUGUAGCGGUGAAAUGCGUAGAUAUUGCUCGGAAGGCCAACGGCGAAGGCAGGUUACUGGUGCGCAACUGACACUGAGGCACGAAAGCGUGGGGAGCAAACAGG
Molecule: ribosomal RNA, 253 nt
Filed under: uncultured bacterium
Lineage: Bacteria
Description: partial 16S ribosomal RNA
Rfam family: Bacterial small subunit ribosomal RNA
Source: RNAcentral